UACGUAGGGGGCGAGCGUUGUCCGGAAUCAUUGGGCGUAAAGCGCGUGUAGGCGGCUCGGUAAGUCUGCUGUGAAAGUCCAGGGCUCAACCCUGGAAUGCCGGUGGAAACUGUCGAGCUCGAGUCCGGAAGAGGUGAGUGGAAUUCCUGGUGUAGCGGUGAAAUGCGCAGAUAUCAGGAGGAACACCAAUGGCGAAGGCAGCUCACUGGGACGGUACUGACGCUGAGACGCGAAAGCGUGGGGAG
Molecule: ribosomal RNA, 245 nt
Filed under: uncultured bacterium
Lineage: Bacteria
Description: partial 16S ribosomal RNA
Rfam family: Bacterial small subunit ribosomal RNA
Source: RNAcentral